GCCCUCUUAGCUCAGUUGGUAGAGCGCGUCACUAGUAAUGACGAGGUCAAUAGUUCAAAUCUGUUAGAGGGCA
Molecule: transfer RNA, 73 nt
Filed under: Auriculariales sp. MPI-PUGE-AT-0066
Lineage: Eukaryota; Fungi; Basidiomycota; Agaricomycetes; Auriculariales
Rfam family: tRNA
About the family: Transfer RNA (tRNA) molecules are approximately 80 nucleotides in length. Their secondary structure includes four short double-helical elements and three loops (D, anti-codon, and T loops).
Source: Rfam by way of RNAcentral